AAAAGCCAUAGACACAAUGAAGGACAAUGUGCAGACAGUCUAUGGAAUGCUCAGGUGAAUUCACAAGGCAAUUGCAAACGCCUGCUGGAUACAAAGGUAACUUAGGGAACAGACAGCUUCAGUGAACACCCCAAGGACAGCCAUGAUCUCAGAUUCAGUCAUUAUCAUGUUCCCAAAAGAGAUCCAAGGCCAGCCACAAAAGGACCAAUGACUCAUGACUAAAAAGGCAUAGACAAGUUUUUCUCUGGCCCGACAGAGGAUUAAGUGCUACAGAAAAGAAGUGUACAGCCUAAAGGAGUGAAUAAGGGAUCUAAUCUACUCCAGAAUGUCAGGGGAGGCUUUGCAGAAUAUGUGCCCUUUGAACUAAGCAGCAAGCACACACACCCUCUGGCAAGUUAAAAAGAAAAACCUCCAGAGUGAAUGACAUUUUCUAAGGAAUCAUGUUGAUUGAGAAGAGCAAAAAUCUAGGCAAAGUUAAUAGAACCAGAUGUUUCAAGGUUGCAGUAC
Tupaia belangeri chinensis (Chinese tree shrew) is the source of this 507-nucleotide long non-coding RNA. RefSeq lists it as uncharacterized. NCBI's taxonomy places the organism in Eukaryota, Metazoa, Chordata, Mammalia, Scandentia, Tupaiidae. The record is from RefSeq and is a predicted model, not a curated record. The transcript has 3 exons.